RNAcentral lists this long non-coding RNA (557 nucleotides) under Homo sapiens (human). RNAcentral describes it as "long independently transcribed non-coding RNA 2440 (LINC02440)". The record is from RNAcentral. Lineage: Eukaryota; Metazoa; Chordata; Mammalia; Primates; Hominidae.
CUCCCCUUCACCAGCUCCGCGGAAACCAUAGCAACGGGCAGCCGGAAGAUGCGGCCAUUCCUCUCCCUUUUGUCCAUUGCAUUUCAGCAGCGCCCGCGCACAUGGACGCUCCAAUUACAGCUCUAGAGGCUAGAAAUUGGCAGUCAGGAUGUGUGUAAGGCCACGCUCCCUCUGAAGACUCCAGGGGAGGAUCUUUCCUUGCCUCCUCCAGCUUCUGGUGGCUGCCAGCAUCCUUGGCAUUCCUUGGCCUGUGGACACAUCACUCUCAUCUCUGCCCAUGGUCACAACCCCAAGCUCCAGAAUACAGACCAGCAGGCGAGGAGACAAGGAGGCAAGCAGAUGGAUGGUGGAACAAAGUGGCAGAGAAAGAGAGAAGAGGAGAGAUGUCUGGACGCCAAGAGGAGUCUGGCUGGGGCCAGUCAGAGAAGAGUCCAGCGGCUGGGCAGCCCGACUCCAGGGGAAGAUCACCUUCCCACUCCAUCCCCCUUCACGCUCCCCAUCCAUCUCACUAAGAGCCAUCUCUACCACUCAAUAAAACCUUGCAUUCAUCCUUCAAA